UACGAGGGGGGCUAGCGUUGCUCGGAAUCACUGGGCGUAAAGGGUGCGUAGGCGGGUCUUUAAGUCAGGGGUGAAAUCCUGGAGCUCAACUCCAGAACUGCCUUUGAUACUGAAGAUCUUGAGUUCGGGAGAGGUGAGUGGAACUGCGAGUGUAGAGGUGAAAUUCGUAGAUAUUCGCAAGAACACCAGUGGCGAAGGCGGCAUCCUGGACCGGCAUUGACGCUGAGGCGCGAAAGCCAGGGGAGCAAACGGG
This 253-nucleotide ribosomal RNA is filed under the name uncultured bacterium. RNAcentral describes it as "partial 16S ribosomal RNA". It matches the Rfam family "Bacterial small subunit ribosomal RNA", at positions 524 to 776 of the family's 1533-position model. The record is from RNAcentral.